This 1971-nucleotide long non-coding RNA is filed under the name Gopherus agassizii (Agassiz's desert tortoise). Its description in RNAcentral is "lncRNA (ENSGAGG00000016720.1)". Lineage: Eukaryota; Metazoa; Chordata; Testudines; Testudinidae. The record is from RNAcentral.
AUGGUCAUCACUGGCAUGUGUCAUAUGUUCUGUCUGUUCAUUUUAGAUCACAUGGCUACUAACAACAUUGCCCUGGACAAUCCCCUGGAUGCUCAGAGUAGACACUCCUUGUCCUGUGCCGCAUUUGGCUGUCAGCAUUAUAGUUUCAUUUUUUAUUCAGACACAAGAUCCAUGUAAGAAGUGUCCAGUGUCUACUUAUUGAACCAGACAAUUAGAUGCAUGCCACAGCUCAAAGAAACACACGCCAUUCUUUGCUGCUUCAGUACAUCUGGAGAACUUUGAACAGAGUUACCACGGGGUCUGGAUGUGUGGCUUUCACUUUCCUAAUCUCCUGCCUGACUCAUCCAGGAAGUGACAGCAUGUUACAGGGGCAACAAAUACGUCUUCAAGAGCUUGGUGCUUAUUUGUUCUGAUGCCAACAACUGGGCCAUGAAGUUGCAUUGGCUUUGGAAGCUAAAGAAAGGAGUGAGCUUCCCCUUUUUUGAAGUAUUUUUAAGGACAAGCCACCUCCUUCUUCCACAGUCCUGGAAUUUUGCCCUGAUAUCUGCCACAUUAUACACACACACUUGGGCCAGGAAGACAUUUUCUAACUGCUAAGAAAAACAAAUGAGGGAAAUGUGAACAGCCUGCAUCUAGCCUGUUACCUCAUCCUGAGCCACCUUGGCUGGUCAAUGGUUGUCAUUGCAUUCCUGGUUCCUCCUUCCUCUCUGCAGAAUAGAUUACAAAGUUUGUUGAGAAUCAAUAGUAAGAGAUACUAAUGGAAAGCAGGCAGCAGCAACAGUUCUAAGGCGCAAAGAGCGCAAUCUAUGCUAUUUCUAUGCAAAGUGACUUUUUUUGGUUUUAUUAAAAACAGAUCUUAAUAUUCUGAGAUACUGAAGUUGUUUUAACCAGUAGCCUGUCAAGGUGGCCUGUAUAUGGACUCAGGGGCAUGUGUACUUUAGAUAAUGGAGAUAGGACUGUGUGUAGUACACAAUCCCCUAGAAAAAUAUAAUCAAAUUAGAACUUCCAAUUUGAGAAAAACCUCUGCUAGGGUCUAAUGUGCUCCCUUUCUGCUCAAGGUUCACCUAUGGCAUGAGUCUACUCCUCCUCCUUCAGUCUCCAAGCCAGUUCUUCUUCUUGUAGGAACUGCUCCUGAUUCCCAAGUUCUAGUUCUACCAUCUGCCAUUUCAGGGGGUUAGUGCUGCAAGGCUGCUGGGCAUUCUCAUCUGAACAGAACUGCAAAAUCACAAGUAUCAAACAUGAUUGAAAGAGACCUGAGGUGGGUCCAUCAGAAAAGCAGAGCUGGCCAAAAAGGAAGCUGUUGCUAAUGGGAAUCCCAAGACUUCCCAAUCUCAGCAUGCUGGAUCAAAGAAUAAUCAGCAAUGACAAAACUGGGGAAAGGUGCCAAAGAGAAGUAACACAAGUCAACCAGCCUUCGGAAAAAUUCUCCCUUCCAAAACAAAUACUGUAUUUGGCUUUCCAAAUUUAACAUCCGUUGACUCCCUCAAAAGCUUUUAUAAACACAGCGAAACAGGACUGGCCCUCCAUCAAUCAAGAAGAGCAGUGAGAGAAGCGCUGAUGAUUUUCUUGUUCCUCUAAUUAAAGAAAAGGAAGUUUUUUACUUGAUUUUCUUCCCUCACUCUCCACUUAACUCAGUUCCUCAAGACAUUCUGCUUCACUAUAGGGUUCCCAAAGCCCAAUACGCUCCCCCUGCUACUGAACAUGUGAUGACUAAAAGGAAAAUCCUGCCACUGAGAUCUAUUAUGCUGUGGAGUUGUCUAUCGUAGUAAGUGGCAAAAGCAUCAUCACUUGGUACAUUUUAAACAGGACUAGACAAAGAAUAUACAUAGGGAAUAAUCCUAACAUGGCUGAAGGGGAAUAGUCUACAAGAGCGUAUUAAAUGGCAUUUUCCGUUUCUAAUUCUGAUGAUUUGUUGGUGCUGCUGUAAUACAAAUAUAUGAAUAAUAAUAAACAGUAAAAUUAUUAUUCCCA